This 117-nucleotide ribosomal RNA is filed under the name Paramormyrops kingsleyae. Lineage: Eukaryota; Metazoa; Chordata; Actinopteri; Osteoglossiformes; Mormyridae. The record is from RNAcentral.
GCCAGCAGCCGUACCACCUGCUGGUCAGACUAGGUAAUGCACCAGAAGCUAAGCAGGUUUGAGCCUGGCCAGUACUUAGACAGCAGUGCAGCUAGGAAAGCUGGGUUGCUGCUGGAA